Molecule: non-coding RNA, 94 nt
Organism: Aspergillus nanangensis
Lineage: Eukaryota; Fungi; Ascomycota; Eurotiomycetes; Eurotiales; Aspergillaceae
Source: the annotation of a GenBank genome assembly
ACUGGCUUGGUGCAACGUAUUGGUAGCAUACCCGCUGGGGCAAACCUAUCCACGAGGCCCGGGGGAGAUCCAGGUUCGAAUCCUGGAGCCGGUU